UCCCCGGCAACAGUGCGCGUGACUUGGCAACGGUGUCACGGGUUUUGAAUAAUUUCCGCUGCGUAGCGCUUUCGUCAGUGUCAUCUGUUUAUGUUGUGAUAAGGUUGUUAUUAUGUUGUAGUUUGCUGGAAAGACGAAGAUUUUAAAGUUUUGUGCCCUUAAAGAGGAGAAAAGGUGCUAAAGCUAAUGUGAAACACGGUCCUAAGAUAUCUUGGUUGCCUGAAAUAGCAGAAAAGUCUACAGCUAGCAUGAUUUGCAGAAGCCAAGGACGUGAUUUACCUGUUUGAAAUUUUGGAGAUUCAACCUACAUUUUCAAGAAGUAAGGAAAGCUGCCAUAUCUGCAGCUAAGCAUUUACUGACACCUUUUCUGAUUGAAGAAUCGUGGUGGGCUACUCAAAUUUUUAACAAAAGAUUUGGAGUGCAGAUUCCUUCCAGUUAAAGGCGCUUCGUCGAAAGUGUUAACAUCUCAUGCUUUUGUUGAAAUUAUCAUGAAGUCCGGAUGCCUUUUUUAUUUUAGUUUGUAAUAUUUUAUAUACUGUCAUAAACCAUGUUAAAAUCAAAUGAAAAUUAAAUAAUUUCAAAGUUUCAUGUUCCCAAA
This is a long non-coding RNA of Bemisia tabaci, 598 nucleotides long. RefSeq lists it as uncharacterized. Lineage: Eukaryota; Metazoa; Arthropoda; Insecta; Hemiptera; Aleyrodidae. The record is from RefSeq and is a predicted model, not a curated record.